UCAUCACCAUCACGUGAAGAACCAUCAACGAUUGAAGCCGGUAAGAUCCGUCACCACCAUCCACAGUAGAUAUGUCAGUUACCUUUUCUAAAUAGUUCAAUUGAACCGAAGUUUUUGUUUUUCCAAAUCCAUUGAAAAAAACUUACAAAAGAACAAUCAAAACUUUGUGAGAUUUAAGAUAAAUUGGCAAACAAACUAAGUAACCAGGAGUAAAUCAAAUCAAAGAAAGAGAAUCAAAACGAAUAAAACAAACCGAUGACGAUGCUAUAAAAGAUUCCGACCAGCGGCUUGAAACAAUCAAAAAUCUCUUCUUUUUUUCUUGACGGCUAGGGUUUGACAUACUAUAUUCAUGGAAAGAAGAUCUACUACACAAACACAUU
RNAcentral lists this long non-coding RNA (380 nucleotides) under Brassica napus (rape). Its description in RNAcentral is "long non-coding RNA (BNAP_LNC002420)". Lineage: Eukaryota; Viridiplantae; Streptophyta; Magnoliopsida; Brassicales; Brassicaceae. The record is from RNAcentral.